This 2125-nucleotide long non-coding RNA is filed under the name Macaca fascicularis (crab-eating macaque). RNAcentral describes it as "lncRNA (ENSMFAG00000054384.1)". The record is from RNAcentral. Lineage: Eukaryota; Metazoa; Chordata; Mammalia; Primates; Cercopithecidae.
GCACACAGCUUCCUACUGCCCCCUGGUGGGGUGAUGCUGAACUAUGCUCAGAAACGUUCCAUCAACCUUAGGGUCAAUCUCAAACAUGAUCUUGGCUUCCACAGUGACACCUUCAAGAAAGGCUGCUGAGUUUAAAGUUAAAAUUCUCCUUGACUUUCUGUCCCAUUUCUCCAAAGCUUGACCUGGGUGGUAGAAAGAAAGGUAAACUGCUUAAAAGGGGGAUGUUAGGACUCCAUCCAGAGAACCCAACAACCUCGAUAGUCCCAUGGAUAAAGUGGUGUCGGGCUGCGGGACUGUCCUGGGACCUAAAAUCAGCACCAAGGAGAUUUCCUCUACAUCAGAUGUCCCUGGUCCUCAGCUACCUAACCCCCAACCCUCAAACUCCCACACAUCCACACCCCAACCCAAGUGUAAAAUGCCAACUGAAAGAUUAUUGAGGUCAUUUUCAGCUUCGAUAGUCAUCAACUUGUGGCUUAGAAACCAAGAAAGGCUUGUCAAUGUGAGGGUGUUUCUAAACCAGGUCAGGAACACACCACAGUCAUGACCAGGUUAGACCAAAGAUGACUCUAUAUAACUCAGAUUCUCCUCUUUCCCUCUAGGGAUCCCCAGAUCUGCUCAUGAGCUAGAGUAGCCACUAGGCCUUGGCACUCGCUCCCAUCCAUUGCAUCAGGAGAAGUGGGAAGGCCUGCAACCUCAGGACCGUUUCUCUGUUCUCCCGAAUGUUUAGGAGCCUGAACUGAGACUUAGACACACUUAGAAGACUCAUCCCAAUUCAGCAUCUCUUACAAAAGGUGGACUAUAGGCUAGGCGUAGUUGCUCAUGCCUGUAAUCCCAGCACUUUGGGAGGCUGAGGCACGUGGAUUACUUGAGGUCGGGAGUUCAAGACCAGCCUGGCCAACAUGGUGAAACCCUGACUCCACUAAAAAUACAAAUGUAUUUUUGAUGAAAGUACAAAAAUUGGCCUGACGUCGUGGCAUGCACUUGUAAUCCCAGCUACUUGGGAGGCUGAAGUAGGAGAAUCCCUUGAACCCAGGAGGCAAAGGUUACAGUGAGCUGAGAUUGUGUCACUAAACUCCAGCCUAGGGGACAGAGUGAGACUCUGUUUCAAACAACAACAACAACAACAACAAAAACAGAAAACACGAAAACAAAAACAAAAACAAAAAGUGUGGACUACAGAGAGCCAAACUCUUGGACUCUGGGAAAUCUGAAAGAGUUGGCUAGUCUCCUAGAUAUCUUCCCUGGAGCUUCUGAAGGUAUUGACUGCUCCUGGUUAGGAUGAGGGGACUAAGCAAUAGCCUAGAACAAGAGAGGAGAGAAGACCAUGAAAGUCCACGAGAUUUGCUAUUUAGUCAACUUAUACCAGUGGGGAUAAAAAGGAAGCUAUCAGGCUGGGCGCAGUGGCUCACGCCUGUAGUCCAAGCACUUUGGAAGGCCAAGUCGGGGGGAUCACUUGAGGUCAGGAGUUUGAGACCAGCCUGGUAAACAUGGUGAAACCCCAUCUCUACUAAAAAUACAAAAAUUAGCCGGGCGUGGUGGCAGACGCUGUAAUCCCAUGUACUUGGGAGGCUGAGGCAGGAGAAUUGCUUGAAUCCAGGAGGCAGAGGUUGCAAUGAGCUGAGAUCACACCACUGCACUCAAGCCUGGGCAACAGAGUAAGACUCCAUCUCAAGAAAAAAAAAAAAAAGGAAGCUAUCAGAGUACCUUUAUUCAUGGGGAGAAGCGACUGCAAGUGGCUCAUAAAUGACAUAUAAGCAAAGAAGAAUGAAGUAAAGCUGGCGGUGGUAUCACUUAUUCCAUUGUCCCACAGUGUUGGUUCAGUUGAUCUGGCUGGUUGGGGGAGUUUGGUCCUUCUUCCUCCUGCCACCCUCACACUCCGUUUGUGUCCCUCCUAGAGUUGCAAGCUCAGUGGAGGAGGAUAAAUAGUGUGACUCUGUCACAACCCAGAAACUCUCCUGGUACAUUUGUAGGGGCCAACAGGGAUACCAGCUUGACAGUGUUAGGGGCCCUGUGUCAAAUCAGGGCCUGACCUCGAAGGUUCCUUUUAGACCAUUGGCUGGGAUGUGUUCCUUCUUAUCCCACCAUGAGGGCUUCCAAAAAAAAUAAAAAAUAAAAAAAAUAAAAA